CCUUAAGGAUGUCGGCCUAAGUUCGCCGCGUCCUGCGGCAACGGCUGACUGACUCGCAUCCUGCGAG
This 67-nucleotide small RNA is filed under the name Sporosarcina sp. HYO08. RNAcentral describes it as "Bacillaceae-1 RNA". It matches the Rfam family "Bacillaceae-1 RNA". Lineage: Bacteria; Bacillati; Bacillota; Bacilli; Caryophanales; Caryophanaceae. The record is from Rfam by way of RNAcentral.